The sequence is a non-coding RNA, 184 nucleotides long. It matches the Rfam family "6S / SsrS RNA". From Rfam's summary of the family: E. coli 6S RNA was the first non coding RNA to be sequenced, but its function was unknown until recently. It consists of 184 nucleotides that fold into an extended hairpin structure with a large single-stranded internal bulge. The record is from Rfam.
UGCUCUCUGCUCUGCCCGUUGUACCUGUAGCGCCCGGGCGGAAUACUUGUUGAAACGGGGAUCGUUCCCUGCCGUGGUGUGCUGCCCUCCGUAUGUGGGAUUUGCCUGAAGCGGCAUACUGAGACCCAUCUGUGAAGGAACUCGCCAGAGGACCUUUUAAGGUCAACGUCAGAGCGGAGAGACG